Molecule: ribosomal RNA, 492 nt
Filed under: uncultured bacterium
Lineage: Bacteria
Description: partial 16S ribosomal RNA
Rfam family: Bacterial small subunit ribosomal RNA
Source: RNAcentral
AGUGAACGCUGGCGGUAGGCCUAACACAUGCAAGUCGAACGGCAGCACAGUAAGAGCUUGCUCUUACGGGUGGCGAGUGGCGGACGGGUGAGGAAUACAUCGGAAUCUACUUUUUCGUGGGGGAUAACGUAGGGAAACUUACGCUAAUACCGCAUACGACCUACGGGUGAAAGCAGGGGAUCUUCGGACCUUGCGCGAUUGAAUGAGCCGAUGUCGGAUUAGCUAGUUGGCGGGGUAAAGGCCCACCAAGGCGACGAUCCGUAGCUGGUCUGAGAGAAUGAUCAGCCACACUGGAACUGAGACACGGUCCAGACUCCUACGGGAGGCAGCAGUGGGGAAUAUUGGACAAUGGGCGCAAGCCUGAUCCAGCCAUACCGCGUGGGUGAAGAAGGCCUUCGGGUUGUAAAGCCCUUUUGUUGGGAAAGAAAAGCAGUAGGUUAAUACCCCGCUGUUCUGACGGUACCCAAAGAAUAAGCACCGGCUAACUUCGUG